AUUGAACGCUGGCGGUAUGCUUAACACAUGCAAGUCGAACGGCAGCAUUUUCUAGCUUGCUAGAAAGAUGGCGAGUGGCGAACGGGUGAGUAACGCGUAGGAAUAUGCCUUAAAGUGGGGGACAACUUGGGGAAACUCAAGCUAAUACCGCAUAAUUUCCUUGGAAAAAAGCUGGGGACCUUCGGGCCUGGCGCUUUAAGAUUAGCCUGCGUACGAUUAGCUAGUUGGUAGGGUAAAGGCCUACCAAGGCGACGAUCGUUAGCUGGUCUGAGAGGAUGACCAGCCACACUGGAACUGAGACACGGUCCAGACUCCUACGGGAGGCAGCAGUGGGGAAUAUUGGACAAUGGGGGCAACCCUGAUCCAGCAAUACCGCGUGUGUGAAGAAGGCCUGAGGGUUGUAAAGCACUUUCAGUGGGGAGGAGGGUACUUAGGUUAAGAGCUAGAGUACUGGACGUUACCCACAGAAGAAGCACCGGCUAACUCCGUGCCAGCAGCCGCCGUAA
RNAcentral lists this ribosomal RNA (506 nucleotides) under uncultured bacterium. RNAcentral describes it as "partial 16S ribosomal RNA". It matches the Rfam family "Bacterial small subunit ribosomal RNA", at positions 30 to 523 of the family's 1533-position model. The record is from RNAcentral.